GACGAACGCUGGCGGCGUGCUUAACACAUGCAAGUCGAACGAUGAACCACUUCGGUGGGGAUUAGUGGCGAACGGGUGAGUAACACGUGGGCAAUCUGCCCUUCACUCUGGGACAAGCCCCGGAAACGGGGUCUAAUACCGGAUACAACACUUUCGGGCAUCCGAUGAGUGUGGAAAGCUCCGGCGGUGAAGGAUGAGCC
RNAcentral lists this ribosomal RNA (200 nucleotides) under uncultured bacterium. RNAcentral describes it as "partial 16S ribosomal RNA". It matches the Rfam family "Bacterial small subunit ribosomal RNA", at positions 28 to 231 of the family's 1533-position model. The record is from RNAcentral.